AUUGAACGCUGGCGGAAUGCUUUACACAUGCAAGUCGAACGAUGAACCUUAGCUUGCUAAGGGGAUUAGUGGCGAACGGGUGAGUAAUAUAUCGGAACGUGCCUUGUAAUGGGGGAUAACUAGUCGAAAGAUUAGCUAAUACCGCAUACGCCCUGAGGGGGAAAGUAGGGGAUCUUCGGACCUUACGUUAUAAGAGCGGCCGAUAUCUGAUUAGCUAGUUGGUGGGGUGAUGGCCUACCAAGGCGACGAUCAGUAGCUGGUCUGAGAGGACGACCAGCCACACUGGAACUGAGACACGGUCCAGACUCCUACGGGAGGCAGCAGUGGGGAAUUUUGGACAAUGGGCGCAAGCCUGAUCCAGCCAUUCCGCGUGAGUGAAGAAGGCCUUCGGGUUGUAAAGCUCUUUCGCAAGGGAAGAAAACUUACCAUCGAAUAAAUGGUGAGGCUGACGGUACCUUGAUAAGAAGCACCGGCUAACUACGUGCCAGCAGCCGCGGUAAUACGUAGGGUGCGAGCGUUAAUCGGAAUUACUGGGCGUAAAGCGUGCGCAGGCGGUUUGGCAAGUCAGAUGUGAAAUCCCCGAGCUCAACUUGGGAACUGCGUUUGAAACUGCCAGACUAGAAUAUGUCAGAGGGGGGUAGAAUUCCACGUGUGGCAGUGAAAUGCGUAGAGAUGUGGAGGAAUACCAAUGGCGAAGGCAGCCCCCUGGGAUAAUAUUGACGCUCAUGCACGAAAGCGUGGGGAGCAAACAGGAUUAGAUACCCUGGUAGUCCACGCCCUAAACGAUGUCUACUAGUUGUUGGUGGAGUAAAAUCCAUGAGUAACGCAGCUUAACGCGUGAAGUAGACCGCCUGGGGAGUACGGUCGCAAGAUUAAAACUCAAAGGAAUUGACGGGGGCCC
This 901-nucleotide ribosomal RNA is filed under the name uncultured bacterium. RNAcentral describes it as "bacterial SSU rRNA". It matches the Rfam family "Bacterial small subunit ribosomal RNA", at positions 28 to 922 of the family's 1533-position model. The record is from RNAcentral.